CUGGGUGCUCAAAGGAUAAACAGCUGCCUGUUGGCCACAUUAUGUUCUCUUUCCUCCCAGGUACUCAUUGCACUUGUACACAUUGUCGGAGUGCCCUCCUCCUCCUGGAGUUUCACGGUCAUGCCUCAGCUGGGGAAGACUGCGAGGGAGUCUUUGGGAAGCUGAAGGAAGUCCUGAAAGAACACAAGGGCAAGAAUUCCUACCAGAAGUGUUGUGAAAUGAGUGAAACCUGGAGUUCAAAGACCUUGGCAGCAAGAAUGGAGGAGUGUGCUGAAUUCGGCAGGAUUUUUGAAACAGAACAUGGAGGCAAGUUUUAUAGAAACCUUGUGUCACUUAGACGGGGCUUUUCAAAGAAAGCCAGCCUCUUGACUUUCCGAAUUAUUGCUCCAGAGGUGGGAACAAAGAACCAGAUGUGUCCUAAAAGGAAGAACAUUCGUAAUUUAACAAUUUCUCUGCAUAAUUCAUCAUUCUGAGUGUUUCAGCUCUUUCUUCUACUGUUCCCUCCACUCCCCGACACUUUAAGGGGAAAACCGAAAGAGUUCUGAUAGUUCUUCUGGUAAAAAUAACUAGGAGUACUUGUGGCACAUUAGAGACUAACACAUUUAUUUAAGCAUAAGCUUUUGUGGGCUAGAACCCAUUUCAUUGGAUGCAUGCAGUGGA
This 660-nucleotide long non-coding RNA is filed under the name Chrysemys picta bellii (western painted turtle). RNAcentral's name for it is "lncRNA (ENSCPBG00000022888.1)". The record is from RNAcentral. Lineage: Eukaryota; Metazoa; Chordata; Testudines; Emydidae.